Molecule: ribosomal RNA, 403 nt
Filed under: uncultured bacterium
Lineage: Bacteria
Description: partial 16S ribosomal RNA
Rfam family: Bacterial small subunit ribosomal RNA
Source: RNAcentral
AUUGAACGCUGGCGGCAGGCCUAACACAUGCACGUCGAGCGAGCGGCGGACGGGUGAGUAAUGUAUGGGGACUGCCCGAUAGAGGUGGAUAACUACUGGAAACGGUGGCUAAUACCGCAUACUAUCGGAUAACCCAUAUGGGAUUAGCUAUUAGGUGGGGUAAAGGCUCACCUAGGCGACGAUCUCUACCUGGUCUGGGAGGAUGAUAAGCCGCACGGGGACUGAGACACGGCCCAUACUCCUACGGAGGCAGCAGUGGGGAAUAUUGCACAAUGGGGUCAAGUCUGAUGCAGCCAUGCCGCUUGUAUGAAGAAGGCCUUAGGGUUGUAAAGUACUUUCAGCGGGGAGGCGUUACCCGCAGAAGAAGCACCGGCUAACUCCGUGCCAGCAGCCGCGGUAAUAC